AAUGAAGAAAGGAAUUCACCCUCAAAUGCAAUGGAUAUCCUACGUGACGCAAAGUGGACGGUUGAUGCAUGUUAUGAUGACUAAAAUACACCAAACAGGCAAGGUUUAUCACAUCAGAGCAAGGCGUCAGAUGGCUCAAAGUCUUGGUCAGAUUGCAAAGUUUAAGCGCCGAUAUGGUGAGAAGGAGGAAGAGGGGGAGAAAACAGACAAAUGAUUGCAUAAGUUGGAAAAAUAGUGAAUCUCUGAUGAUUUUGUGGAUGGAUUCAUCCUCGCGUUUUCCUUUCCAUCUCAUCUUAACUUGUCUUCUUGUAUGCUGUCACCCCUUUGAAUGUUCUGUUAAACAUUAGCAAACAACACAUUCUUCCUACUGUGUACACCAAUUCAGUGAUAUUUUUGCAGCAAUCAUUAUGGCUCG
RNAcentral lists this unclassified non-coding RNA (415 nucleotides) under Hevea brasiliensis (rubber tree). Lineage: Eukaryota; Viridiplantae; Streptophyta; Magnoliopsida; Malpighiales; Euphorbiaceae. The record is from RNAcentral.